Molecule: ribosomal RNA, 311 nt
Filed under: Escherichia coli
Lineage: Bacteria; Pseudomonadati; Pseudomonadota; Gammaproteobacteria; Enterobacterales; Enterobacteriaceae
Description: partial 23S ribosomal RNA
Rfam family: Bacterial large subunit ribosomal RNA
Source: RNAcentral
UAAGUAACGAUAAAGCGGGUGAAAAGCCCGCUCGCCGGAAGACCAAGGGUUCCUGUCCAACGUUAAUCGGGGCAGGGUGAGUCGACCCCUAAGGCGAGGCCGAAAGGCGUAGUCGAUGGGAAACAGGUUAAUAUUCCUGUACUUGGUGUUACUGCGAAGGGGGGACGGAGAAGGCUAUGUUGGCCGGGCGACGGUUGUCCCGGUUUAAGCGUGUAGGCUGGUUUUCCAGGCAAAUCCGGAAAAUCAAGGCUGAGGCGUGAUGACGAGGCACUACGGUGCUGAAGCAACAAAUGCCCUGCUUCCAGGAAAAG